Molecule: ribosomal RNA, 370 nt
Filed under: uncultured organism
Description: bacterial SSU rRNA
Rfam family: Bacterial small subunit ribosomal RNA
Source: RNAcentral
CGUAGGGUGCGAGCGUUAAUCGGAAUUACUGGGCGUAAAGCGUGCGCAGGCGGUUUUGUAAGACAGAUGUGAAAUCCCCGGGCUCAACCUGGGACCUGCAUUUGUGACUGCAAGGCUAGAGUACGGUAGAGGGGGAUGGAAUUCCGCGUGUAGCAGUGAAAUGCGUAGAUAUGCGGAGGAACACCGAUGGCGAAGGCAAUCCCCUGGACCUGUACUGACGCUCAUGCACGAAAGCGUGGGGAGCAAACAGGGUUAGAUACCCUGGUAGUCCACGCCCUAAACGAUGUCAACUGGUUGUUGGGUCUUUACUGACUCAGUAACGAAGCUAACGCGUGAAGUUGACCGCCUGGGGAGUACGGCCGCAAGGUUG